This 492-nucleotide ribosomal RNA is filed under the name uncultured bacterium. RNAcentral's name for it is "partial 16S ribosomal RNA". It matches the Rfam family "Bacterial small subunit ribosomal RNA", at positions 29 to 507 of the family's 1533-position model. The record is from RNAcentral.
AGUGAACGCUGGCGGUAGGCCUAACACAUGCAAGUCGAACGGCAGCACAGUAAGCGCUUGCUCUUACGGGUGGCGAGUGGCGGACGGGUGAGGCAUACAUCGGAAUCUACUUUUUCGUGGGGGAUAACGUAGGGAAACUUACGCUAAUACCGCAUACGACCUACGGGUGAAAGCAGGGGAUCUUCGGACCUUGCGCGAUUGAAUGAGCCGAUGUCGGAUUAGCUAGUUGGCGGGGUAAAGGCCCACCAAGGCGACGAUCCGUAGCUGGUCUGAGAGGAUGAUCAGCCACACUGGAACUGAGACACGGUCCAGACUCCUACGGGAGGCAGCAGUGGGGAAUAUUGGGCAAUGGGCGCAAGCCUGAUCCAGCCAUACCGCGUGAGUGAAGAAGGCCUUCGGGUUGUAAAGCCCUUUUGUUGGGAAAGAAAAGCAGCAGGUUAAUACCCCGCUGUUCUGACGGUACCCAAAGAAUAAGCACCGGCUAACUUCGUG